AGUGAACGCUGGCGGUAGGCCUAACACAUGCAAGUCGAACGGCAGCACAGUAAGAGUUUGCUCUUACGGGUGGCGAGUGGCGGACGGGUGAGGAAUACAUCGGAAUCUACUUUUUCGGGGGGGAUAACGUAGGGAAACUUACGCUAAUACCGCAUAUGAUCUACGGGUGAAAGCAGGGGAUCUUUGGACCUUGCGCGAUUGAAUGAGCCGAUGUCGGAUUAGCUAGUUGGCGGGGUAAAGGCCCACCAAGGCGACGAUCCGUAGCUGGUCUGAGAGGAUGGUCGGCCACACUGGAACUGGGACACGGUCCAGACUCCUACGGGAGGCAGCAGUGGGGAAUAGUGGGCAAUGGGCGCAAGCCUGAUCCAGCCAUACCGCGUGGGUGAAGAAGGCCUUCGGGUUGUAAAGCCCUUUUGUUGGGAAAGAAAAGCAGCAGGUUAAUACCCCGCUGUUCUGACGGUACCCAAAGAAUAAGCACCGGCUAACUUCGUG
Molecule: ribosomal RNA, 492 nt
Filed under: uncultured bacterium
Lineage: Bacteria
Description: partial 16S ribosomal RNA
Rfam family: Bacterial small subunit ribosomal RNA
Source: RNAcentral